AGGACUAACGCUGGCGGCGUGCCUAACACAUGCAAGUCGAGCGGGGUAGCAAUACCCAGCGGCAGACGGGUGAGUAACGCGUGGUCAACCUUCCGUUGAAUGGGGGAUAACUAGCCGAAAGGUUAGCUAAUACCGCAUACGAUCUUUUGAAGGCAUCUUUAAAAGAUGAAAGGAGCAAUUCGUUCAACGACGGGACCGCGUCCCAUUAGCUAGAUGGUGGGGUAAUGGCCUACCAUGGCAACGAUGGGUAGCUGGUUUGAGAGAGCGACCAGCCACACUGGGACUGAGAAACGGCCCAGACUCCUACUGGAGGCAGCAGUGAGGAAUUUUCCGCAAUGGGCGAAAGCCUGACGGAGCGACGCCGCGUGUGGGAAGAAGGCCUUCGGGUCGUAAACCACUGUCGAAGGGGACGAGUAAUGACGGUACCCUUGGAGGAAGCCCCGGCUAACUACGUGCCAGCAGCCGC
RNAcentral lists this ribosomal RNA (466 nucleotides) under uncultured bacterium. RNAcentral describes it as "SSU rRNA". It matches the Rfam family "Bacterial small subunit ribosomal RNA", at positions 26 to 518 of the family's 1533-position model. The record is from RNAcentral.